RNAcentral lists this transfer RNA (67 nucleotides) under Brachypteracias leptosomus (short-legged ground-roller). Its description in RNAcentral is "tRNA-Cys". The record is from RNAcentral. Lineage: Eukaryota; Metazoa; Chordata; Aves; Coraciiformes; Brachypteraciidae.
GACUCUGUGGUGAAAUUCAUGUUGAGUUGCAAGCUCAUUGAUGUGCAUUAGAGAUGUACCAGAGUCU